GGCGGCGCAGUGCCUCGGCGCCAUCUGCGGCGUCGCGCUCGUCAAGGGGUUCCAGAGCUCGCUCUACGACAGGUACGGCGGCGGCGCCAACGAGCUCGCCGCCGGCUACUCCACCGGCACCGGCCUCGCCGCCGAGAUCAUCGGCACCUUCGUGCUCGUGUACACCGUCUUCUCCGCCACCGAUCCCAAGCGCAACGCCCGCGACUCACAUGUUCCCGUAAGUGCAUAAACUUUCCAUCGAUUUGUGUUUGCACCCUGCAGCAAUUUGCACAUUGCAAGAACUCGAGCUCAUUGCUUCUAUUUAAUUUCGAUAAAUCAAAGGUGUUGGCUCCGCUGCCAAUCGGGUUCGCGGUGUUCAUGGUGCACCUGGCGACGAUCCCGAUCACCGGCACCGGCAUCAACCCGGCCAGGAGCCUCGGCGUCGCCGUGGUCUACAACAACAACAAGGCCUGGAGUGAUCAGGUACAUACUACCUUACUGCCAAAUUGUGCAAGAAUUGCUUUGUUUGUUUCUCAUUCCUGGCUGGUUAAUUGGCCAUGAACUGACAUUGCAUUGGUGUUCAUCUGUGUGACGCAGUGGAUCUUCUGGGUUGGGCCGUUCAUCGGCGCGGCGAUCGCGGCGCUGUACCACCAGGUCAUCCUCCGUGCCAGUGCAAGGGGCUACGGCUCCUUCCGGAGCAACGCGUAGUUGAGCUCGUCUGGUGAUAUCCGUGGUCAAGUCGGCAUUGUUUGGGCUCUUUCUCCUUCAGAGUUUAAGGUGAAUGGAGAGAACAGAGCACCUGUUCGUCAGUAGUAGAAGCAGCUUCAGUUUAAGUGAGAAGCCCUGCAGUGUGGUGUAUGUUUCAGUGUUUGCAAUGCAAGUGUAAACUCUGUCCCUCUGUUGUCUUCAUGUUUCUAAGAAUCUAAGUGAACCAAAAGUCAAUAAAUUGAGGUGGUAGAGUUGAAGUGAUCAAGGGUGCCUACAAAUUAAGGGCGAAAUUGUCCAUGUGACAGGCUCUUAGCAAGUGACAUGCUCCUAAAGAACUUUAAGAAGAAAAAUAUGUUGUUAUAUACUUCCUCCUUUUUUUUUCUAAGUCAAAAUUUUUAAGUUUAAUCAAAUUUAUAGAAAUACACAACAACAUUUUUCAACACUAAAAAACAUAUGAUCAAAAUGUUAUUCAAUGUUAGAUUUAGUGAAACAAAUUUGAUGUGGUAGAUAUUACUAAUUUUUUCUAUAGAAUUGGUCAAACGUAAAAAAAUUGACUAGAAUAAAAUUAAAGCGUGUUAUAAUAUGAAACGGUUGGUAUACUUUGAAAAAUGAAUAUUCGACCAUACUUUUACUAUUGAGUGAAUUGACAGUUUGGACCACCUUUUAUUACUAAAGUUUUACUUACUACCCUUAACUAAUAUUCUCACAUUGGAAUAAGGUAAGAUUAUCUGUGUUACACAUUGGACUGCCCAAACUCUCUUAUCUAGCUUCAUCUAUACUCUCCUCCGGUAUGUAUCGAGGACAUAUCUCUAUUUUUUCUUAAUUUAUUUUUCUAACGAAUUAACAAUACUUACCAAAUACCGUAUCGCUGGCAUAUCCCGCUCACUACUAUAAAACAUCACAUAGAGAUUAGUCUUAUAGGUGCUGGCUUAUUUAAAACCGGCUAUGAAGCUUUUUCUACAUUUUUUUCAAUGUAAAAUUGAGAACCGGUACCUAUAACCACUCAUCGGUACCGGUUUAUUUCAAAAACCGGCACCAAUAGUCCUCUAAAGUUAUAGGUGCCGGUUCUUAUAACAAACUGAUAUACAUGGACAUGGUAUAGGUGCUAGUUCUUAUAAUAAACCGACACCAAUAAGUGCGGUAUCAUAGGUACCUUUUUAUUAUGAACCAGCUCAUACGGGCAUCGUUCAUGUGUCAGUUUUCAAUAAAAACCGGCACUUAUGAGCCCAUAGGUAGCGGUUUACCAUUAAAACCGGUGCCUAUGAUGAUACAAUAUACGUGUGUUUUUUAUCUAACUUUUUCAUUUGAAGUCGGACAAAGAUAAACUUUGUAUCAAAUUUGUAGAACUCGACGAGAUUUAUAAUUUUCUAGUUGAUGACUUUUCGAUUUAAGGUUGUUUGGAUAUCAAAAAUGUGUUACAAGGUCUUGGAUCUAUUUGCUCAAGUGGAUAUUUAAAUUUUCUAAACAAUAUCUAAAGGAGACAAAAUCUAUAUAAAAGUUGUAGAGAUAGAUGAUAUCUACAUUUAUGUAGUUGACAAACUUUUUAUUUGAGCUCAUCUAAGGUGUUAAUUAUGAAUUAUAAGUUUGGAUGACAAUAGUCUCAAAAGAAUAACAUUUGUUUUCAAGACAAGUGCGUGUGUGUAAGAUGGUGAGGAAGCUUUGGUUGAAGAGAGAGAUUUUGAGUUUGAAUCUUACAUGACACACAUAUAUAUGAAUACUAGGUGAUACCCCGCGCUCUGUUGCGGGAUUCACGGAUGAGUAUAUAUUAAAUAUUGUCGAAAUGAUGAAAGUUGAAAUGUUAAGAAAAUAAUGUGAGGAAGAUGAUUUGACACAUACUUGUUGAACUCUAUAAUAGAAUAUUGUAGAUGAUAUGUCAUGCUUGCUUGGGAUUUAAAAUAGACUAGAAUAAUAAUUGCUAGUGAGUGAAGAUGUGGCAUGCUUGCAUGGGAUUUUAAAUGGGCUAGAAUAGUAAUUGCUAGUGGGUGAUGAUGUGGCAUGCUUACAUGUUGAGCUUUAACUUUAGUGGGUAACAACUAUACAGAAAGUAUAGAUUUGUUGAAACAUCCAUGUGACUGGUUGGAAGAAGAGUGAUCGUAUAGGUGCCUAAUGGAAAUACCAAAUAUUUUUUUCAAUUUUUUUAGCACCUGCAAAUUUUAAAAAAUAAGUGCACCCCUAAAGGUGCCGGUUCUAAUUUAGAACCGACACCUAUAGUGUCACAUAGACCCAAAGUCAUUGGUAUUGAAUAAUUGGUGCCAGCACCGGCUACCCCUUUGGAACCGGUACCUAUGAGCUUUUAUACAGUAGUGGCUUAUCACUGUAUCGGAUACAUAUAUCCGAUACCAGAACAGCUGAAAACUAUUGUAUCGGUGCAUCAAAAAAUGUAGAAAGUGUGGAACCUAAUCACCCAUAACUCCGUGUCAAGGGGUCCAAACUUAGGAUAUUUUUAGGCUAUUUAUAAAACUAGGAAGGUAGCCCGCGCGAAUGCGCGGGCAUACGUCAUACGCUAAGUUUGAGACAUUUAUAAGAGCAAAAUAUUAACCGUGAAUAUCUACCACGAUUUCUCCAUAAAUUGUUUUCGUCUACAUUAAUUUCUUUUAUAAUUUUCUAACAUAUUAGUUUUAUAUUAUAUCAUAUUAAAGUAAUAUCUAUAAGCAAUUAUUUAUAAUCUUCUUCAUCACUUGAAAAAGGUAGACUUAUUUUCUUUAGAAUACAUGUCAACGAAAAGUAAGUGUAAAGUAAAACUGAGGUAUUUUUCUUUUUUUAUUGCAUAUAUAUUAUCAUGGUUUAUUCGAGGAUUAAUUGGGUGGGACAUGAUGCUCCACUAAAUAUAUGGGUUUAUAUAGCUUAAUAUGAUUGAUGUAAUUUGAGAGUUGGUCCAUGUAUGAACAUUUCAUAUAGAGUGGGUCAGAAGUUCCACGCAAGCUAACGUGAAAGCGAAAUAUAAUUGCACAAUACAUCAUGUAUACACAUCUGGUUUUUCUUAUAUAGGAUAGAUCUAACUAUUAGAAAUAAUGAUUCCACCGGUUUAAAAGGCAUAUAAGUAUUCCAAAAAUAUAGCUUAAAAAUUAUGGUCGGUUUAAUAUCCAACAUUAUUGCGAAGUGAACGUAGCUCAACCGGUUAGGUUCGUUGUAAUGGAAUUUGCCCACUCGGGUUAAUGUCCCAGACUUAACAAAUUCUUUCAGUAGUAGGUGACGUACACAUCGACAGCGAGACGUACGUAGUGACUUCGUCAAUCUUAAUAUAUAUCACCCUAGUCUCUCGGAAGUACUCAUAGGGGUAUAUGCAUGUGUGUGUUCAUAGAUGUGAGUGUAUGCGCGUUGUGAGCGCCCGUGUUUGUACUUUGUACUAAAAAAAUAUUAAAGAUUAUUUAUUGUUUCUCUUUUAGUUUAAUAGAUAAAACAAUAGGGAGGGGAUGACAGAGUUGUGUAGAUGUGAGAGUGAGGAGGAGGUGGAGAUUUUAUUUUUCUAAUUUUUCUAAAUGAUUUAAGUGAAAGCCGAUGAUGGGGUUUGUACAUGCCCAGGAUAAUUUUUUUCUCAAUCUGGUGGAUAGUAGUACAUAUGGCAUAUUUGAGAUUUUUUUUUUCACUUUUUUGGGUGAACAGUACAUAUGUACGUGUAACUCGUAGCAAUUAGGUGGGACCGUGGUAGGGCUAAUCCUUCUUUUUUUCAAUCGUAAUUACUUUUUUUUUCUUUUUUUUAAGUGAGUAGCAAAGUACGGAAGUACGUAUAUAUACGUACAACUAUUCACGUGAUUUUUUUUAUUCGAGCAGGUUAGAUGUAUUUUAAAUAAAUCUAAUCUAAUAAUUUAAAAAUAGUGGGUCCACCAAUAUAAAUGAUUGCAUGUUUUUUCUCACAAUUCGUAAGGUUUUCUCUAAUUUAUUAGAGCACCACGUGGUGGAUAGAACCGUUCGUAGGAGCGCCACAUGGCUAUUUAGAAGCAUUUAUAGGAAGUUUAAUAGAUUUUUAGUCUCUAAAGUUACCUAUUGUAUGUCGACCUGAUGUAUCAUGAUGUAUUUAAGACCACAACAUUACUUUUAUACACCGAUACUUUAUAUAAUUUAACGAAUACAAUGGAUCAUAAAUUGGGCAUAUAAUUAAAAAUAAUUUAAAAGAUAAUGUGUAGAGACCGUUGAUUUGAUAUUUGAUAUUUAUAUUAUAGAUAUAGUUUACAUGCCUAUACUUCCAUAUAUUAUGUAAUAUUAUAUUUUAUAUUAUACAAAGUCCUACAUUAGAUCGUCGUUUUUUUCCAAGGGUACUAACGACACAUUUUUUUUGGCUUUAUUAUUUUUUAUCGUACGUAUAUGUUUAUUUCUUUUCCUUCCGCCUAACAGCAGGAAGCUUUAUUUGUUUUUUUAUUCAAUUAUACUUGCGUACGGACACCAGUUGCAUAUUUUUUAAGGAAAAACUAUCACCUUUUUAAUAAUAGAUUUAAUCUAAUGGUCUAAAUUAACGGGUCCACCAAUUUAAGUGAAAAUCAACGGUGAUAUUAGAUAGUGCCACGUGGCGGUCUAGGAGUGUUUGUAGGAGCGCUAUGUGACGGUUUAGGAGUGUUUGUAAGAAGCUUAAUGGACUUUUAGUAUAUAAUAGAUAAGAUUUUAAAACUGGUCAUAAUGUGAAAAAUCAAGUGUUGUGGUAUAUAGUACGAAAUUGAAGGGUUCGAUUCAGAAACACGAAACGACCCUAACAGGAGAGAAGAGCCAACCGACCAAAGAAUAAAAAGCACACACGAAUCCGAGUCACGCAUCACGUUCACUAGCUGCAACAGGGAUGGAUGCAACUGCUUAGCUCCCUUACAAAUGCAUAUACUAACAUGCAUCCUUUAGGGAAAAACUCGCUAAUUAAUGAAGCUAUCUACAGCUUUCCCUUUCUCAGUAACAUGAUACUCCCUCCGUAUUUUAAUGUAUGACGCCGUUGAUUUUUUGACAAACGUUUGACCUUUCAUCUUAUUUAAAAAAUUUAUGUAAUUAUAAUUUGUUUUAUUGUGACUUGAUUUAUCAUCAAAUGUUAUUUAAGCAUGACAUAAGUAUUUUUAUAUUUGCAUAAAAUUUUUGAAUAAGACGAGUGGUCAAACGUUGGUUAAAAAGUCAACGGCAUCGUACAUUAAAAUAUGAAGGGAGUAUUAACUAACCAAAGUGAUCGAUCAAGAAAAACUGCAGCGUAGGCAUACAACGAGGACUGAUCCAGCAGGCAAACAUCCAGCAUCCCGGCCGGACCAGGACAAGAACCGGUGAGAUCGAAAUGGAAAGUAACCAUGGGCUACUGAUCACUUGCUGCAUCCAACCAAACUCUCACAUUACCAACUUUCUGACCAAGCUUAAUUUCCAUGUGAAUUUGCAUUAGAUUCUCCUCUAAUGGUCGGCGUAUGCAUGCAUAACACACGACAGAGUGACAGAGCACGUACUUGUACACUUGGUCAUCUUAAGCUCAACCCAGCAUUCCUGGCUAUGAGUAUUAGUGUGCAAGCAUAUAAAGCAAACUGGAAUUGGGAAGUAUCAGUGGAGUGUAUGACUCCAUCCAUCAUUAUUUAAAUUCAAUUAUCAUUAAAUAUGACUAUAUAUUACAUUCUUAGUUGGCAUGUAGAGGCCAGAACUAUAAAUCCUUUAUCGAAGAAACUAGUAAUAAUGCACGCGUGAGGAAAAGAUAUAAUGGUACGAUGCUGGACUAAGCCGUCAUAUAGAAUAUAAUUUAAUUUGAUUCAAAUAUUUUAGUGACCAAAUAUGUUCAACAUUUUGUUUUUAAAAUAUCAAACACUCAUAUUCAAAAGAAAAAAAAACAUGGUUGUAUAAUUUUGUAAUAUAUUAACAAGAUGCCCGCACAGUUAUCUAUAUAAAUACCUUUGUGGUUUUUGUAAAUAUAUACAACCAGUGAAGGAUCAGCAAUACCAAACAUUUUUCGAUGAAGAUCAUAUAAUUUAAUUUUUAACAAAUAAUAAAGUAAAAUCACCAGUACAUCUUAACAUAAUAAAAUCUAUGAAACAUAAUUAAUAUGCCCGCGCAUGUGCAUGCGAAAGUGAGCAUGAGGCUAGCGGCAGCAACAUAUGAUGCAAGUGAUGGCAACACUAUGGGGCGAGCUCAGGAAUGUGGCUGUUGACAAGCUUAGGGGAAGUGCCGGCUAAAAUAACUAUUAGAUACCCCACGCAUUACAACGGAAAAUUUAAUAUACUUCAAAGAAAUCUCGAAGAAAACAAUAUAAUAAGUAAAUUGUUUACACAUAAUAUCUAAAUAGAUAACAUUUUUUCUAUAUUAGUUGAUGUGAAAUUGCAAUUCUAUAUGAUACUUGGAUGGUUAUGUAUCAAACAUAAGAAGGAUCCAGUGACUAUUAGUUUUCUAAGUGUCAUAGUUCAAUGUGCAAUAACUAUAUUUAGUGAGUUUUAAUACAUAUGAUAAAUGGAUGGUUAAGAUCAAAGCAUGAGAAUAUUUUUUUAAGAUGAUAUUGCUCAAUACAUGACAAGCUUUUGGUAUAGGAUGUACAGAUUGGCCGGCCGGUGACGUGAAAACAGAAUGCUCGCUUCUUUUCAAAUUGUUUCAUCCUUGUGGAUGGAAUUGAACCUCCGGUGACCAGAAUGACAGCACUAGCAACGUGCCAGAGGACUGAUGAUGACCGAUCCAACUGUGUUGUGAUCAAGCUUUUCUUUGUCCUUGUUAAUUCUUGAAAGUGAGCUAACUUAAUUAAUUCUAUCAGUUAGGUGAUGAGUGUCAGUGCAUCUUAGCCACAAGACAUGAACCAAAAAGUGUGCUAGAUGGAGAGAUGGUGUCAGCUCCGGGAAUGAGGCUAUAUAUGAUGGACGGUUUUGUUACAACCAGAGGUGCCACUUAGCAAAGGAACACUAACAAACGCUAAUAAGGGUGGCAGAAUGAACCUACAUCAACUAUAAAUUAGAAGACAGACCAUACAACACACAGGAUUUGUUGAUGAAAUUCAACGAUUUCUAUUGAAACUGUCCUAUAUUUAAGUUUUAAAAGUUCGAUGAAAUCUUACACAAGAGAAACGUCUAGAGGUCUUCCGGCUAGCUCCACAAGGUGGUGGGCUAAACGACCUAGAGUUUCAGAACCUCACCACUUCUAUUUUUUUUUUGCGGGGACUCACCACUUCUAAUUAUUUGAUAUUAAGUCAUUCCCUAAUAUUCGUGUUUUUUAUAUCUUAUACAAAACUUUAAAACUUUAUGACCACAAGAAGUUUUAGAAACGCUAGAGGACAUGUAAAGUCCUGACUCAAGUACUAGUACACCUCACGUAUUUUAUAACCGGCGCUGCUAUACAUACGACUAAUUUGUUACGAUAGUUGUACGAUGAAUUGUUUCUCUUCUAGGCUCAUAAAGCUUAUUAACGUUGCAAGUUCUGGUCCCACACUGGACCUCUUCUAGCGCUGACCCUAUAUCCAAAAACCCAAGCUCAUCACAUCAUCGUCCUGACAUCUUACAAUUAAGCCUCCUGGCACAGCUAACCAGAGUAAUUUAUUUUUCCUAAUAAAUCUUAUAUACUCGUACUGUCGCUUAACACUUAUCAUGUGACCCAGCUUAAGUUAAGUAAAUUAUUUUACCGUGAACCUAGUUUAAGUAAACUAGAUAGGUACCCCGCGCGUUGCUACGGGAGAAUUGUGUGAUAAAAUAGUUAGAUAUGAGUUGUAGAAAAAAUAUCUUAUUUACUAUAUGAUUUUGUUUUAUGUGCUUGUAUAUUUUGUACCUCGAUCAAUUAUUCAAAAGUUAUAAAUGGUUGAGUUAUAUGUUGUGGCUUUUAGGAAGAAGAGAUGCAAUUUGCACCCUUGAUGAAUCAUCCAAGGGCUAAAAACAAUUGAGGUGACGUGGCUUCACGAGAGAAGAGAGAAUUAGCAUUAACUACAUUUAGUGGGGAUGAGCUUUAUAGAUAUAUAGGAUUACCCAUGCAAAUAUGUUCCUUGCAUCUCGGACCCUGGUAGCAUCACCCCUAGUUGUAAGUAUUCUAAAUUUCCAAUGGCACAAAUCAGGAUAAGAUGCAGCAAACGUUUAUGUAUGAGCCAAUGUUUGACAUGGUUUAUAUUUAUUUGGAUAUAGAUAGAGCAAAAAAGGCAAAGAAAAAUAAUGAGUAUAUGCGUAUGGGAUUGGGCUGCAACAUGCGCGUGCACCACGUAACGUUAAGAUGCCAAGCGCCGUCCUCAUUUGAUCGUACAAAAACAUCAUAUACGUAGCAUUUUCCAUUUCAUAACAGUCUCAUUCAUUAAUAGGGAUUCCCAUGUGUUUCAAGAUAACCCCUUCCAUCCUUAUUACCAGCUCGUUAGCAAUAGUUUGAACGAACUUCUUAGGUCUUACCAGAUUUCAAACUUUGUCAAUGUAAAAUAUUUCAAUUAACGAGAAGAAUCAUAAUCAAAUAUAUAAAUCUAGUUGGAGUAUGAAAAAUGUAUUGUCCAAAUAAGAAAACAUAGUAAGAAACUCUAAAACUAUAAUAGAAAAAAAAACGGUUAGGGUGUAUGCCUACACCCACCAGAAUAUAUGUUAUGCUGCCCGCGUAUGCGGAUAUGUUCUCAAUAGAAAUUUAGCAUUAUUAGAGAUUUGUCGUUGUAUACGUUGAUUGCGUGUAUAAGUAAUAUAUGUAUGUCUUCCUAUAUAUAUUAGUAAUAACAUUUCUGUAUAAUGUAAUGAACCAGGUUCAUAUAAUUAGAGAUAGACGAGAAGGAUGAUUAAGAAUAAAACAUUCGGCCUCGUGGCUAUGUACGCUGAGUGUACGAACGUGUUGUGGGAGGAGGGGAUGGAAUGAUGAUGACUCUGUUUUUAGCAGUAGAGAUAAGAAAAAUCCAAAUGACAAACAAAAUAAAUGUGGAAGGAUCUAAACGCCGUUAGUUGUCCAUCAACAUUGACAGCUGAAAAUGCCUUCCAAAUUUCAUUACAAACCAUGAUGAAGCCAUCUUCUUCUUUCCCUGAUUCACUCAUAAACCCUCUAUAAAUGGUUCCUAUCACAACCACAAACACCACAGCUCAAAACACUUCCAACUUCCUGAGCAUUUCUCCAUUUGUCUCUUCCAAGGCAACAAUGGGCAAAGAGGUUGACGUGUCCACUCUCGAGGCCGGCGGCGUCCGGGACUACGAGGACCCGCCGCCGGCGCCGCUCGUCGACGCCGACGAGCUGUGCAGGUGGUCCCUGUACCGCGCCGUCAUCGCCGAGUUCGUGGCCACGCUGCUGUUCCUCUACGUCACGGUGGCCACGGUGAUCGGGUACAAGCACCAGACGGACGCCGCCGCGAACGGCGCCGACGCGGCGUGGGCGUCCUCGGCAUCGCGUGGGCGUUCGGCGGCAUGAUCUUCGUCCUCGUCUACUGCACCGCCGGCGUCUCCGGCGGGCACAUCAACCCGGCGGUGACGCUCGGCCUCUUCCUGGCCCGGAAGGUGUCCCUGGUGCGCGCCCUCCUGUACAUGGCGGCGCAGUGCCUCGGCGCCAUCUGCGGCGUCGCGCUCGUCAAGGGGUUCCAGAGCGGCCUCUACGCGCGGCACGGCGGCGGCGCCAACGAGCUCGCCGCCGGCUACUCCACGGGCACCGGCCUCGCCGCGGAGAUCAUCGGCACGUUCGUGCUGGUGUACACCGUCUUCUCCGCCACCGACCCCAAGCGCAACGCCCGCGACUCCCAUGUUCCGGUAAGCAUAUAUCGGAGUACACAACUUUGUGUUACAUGGCAAGAACUCGAGCUCAUUGCUUCACUUCUGUGGUAAAAAUCAAGGUGUUGGCGCCGCUGCCGAUCGGGUUCGCGGUGUUCAUGGUGCACCUGGCGACGAUCCCGAUCACCGGCACCGGCAUCAACCCGGCGAGGAGCCUCGGCGCCGCCGUCAUGUACAACAACAGCAAGGCAUGGAGUGAUCAGGUAACGUAAUCUUGCUGCCAAAUUUGUGCGAGAAUAAUUAAUAAUGCUGUUGAUCACAAGCCAGGAUAAUGAACUGACAUUGCAUUGACGCACACGCAGUGGAUCUUCUGGGUCGGGCCGUUCAUCGGGGCGGCGAUCGCGGCGCUGUACCACCAGGUCAUCCUCCGCGCCAGCGCAAGGGGCUACGGCUCCUUCCGGAGUAACGCCUAACCUAGCUCGUUCGUUCGUCCUGUGAUCUGCAUGGCCAAGUGGAAGCCAUUAUUAUUCAGGCUCUCUGCUUCUCCUUCAGAGUUUAAGAUGAAAUGGAGGGAACAGAUAGCUAGAGCGCUGGCUUUUUAUCCGUAGUGGAGAUAUGCAGCUUCAGUCUAAGUGUGAAGAUUGCAGUGCUGCAGCAGUGCAAGCAUUCGUGUGUUUGUGCGUACGUGCAAAUGUGACCUUUUUCUAUGUAUGCCCUUCGGUUUGAACCUGAAAAUCAAUCAAUAAUUUUUUGAAAUCCACUAAACACUGAGAUGUACAAAUGUACCAAUGUACCGUGUGUUUGGGUUCCAGGAAUGAGAUGGAUCAGGAUGGAUCAUACUCUGAACAAAAUUUUCUCGGUGUUUGGUUUGGAGAUAGAUGUAAUCCAAUAUCCGGGUUGACUUUGUCCCUAAAAAACUGGUAGAACAAUUCAAUCCACUUUUCCCUCUUGCUGACAUGUGGAUAUCACUUAAAAGGUAUUACAUAGGAUCAUCCCUUAUGUUAAACAGAUGAAUGGGAUCAUCCCAUCAAAAAAACAAGUACAAGUCCAACACACCUUACCACAUUCCCAAACCAAACCAUACAUAGUGAUUAAGAAUCCGCAUGUGUAAAGUACUAAAGUAUCCGUAUGGAAAUACUCUGAACCCAAUGGCGCCAAAACCACAUGAAACCUGAUUGCUACAUACUCCCUUCGUUUCAUAUAUAAGACGUUUGACUUUUUUUUCUAGUCAAACUUUAUUAAGUUUAACCAAGUUUAUAGAAAAUUAGCAAUAUCUAAAUUAUCAAAUUAGUUUUAUUAAAUCUAGGAUUGAAUGUAUUUUGAUAAUAUAUUUGUUUUGUAUUGAAAAUAUUAUUAUACUUUUUCUCUAAAUUUAGUCAAACUUAAAGAAGUUUGACUAAAAAAACAAACAUCUUAUAAUAUGAAACGGAUGAGUAGGCCUUAGAAAGCUUGAAGGUAUUGACUAAAGUAGCAAAUUUGCUUUUGGUAAAAUAUGAGAUACCCCCGAUGACAUUGGAGACUUAAAUACACAUGUAUGAAUACAUAUACUUCUAUGGAAAGGAUUUUCUCAAAUGGGUAUAGGACCGCAAACAGAGAUAAGGAUCACAAGACCAACUUCAGUAAGAUCUCAAAGACCUAACUCUACCGAAGACUUCCAAGAAUAAAUCUUUAAGUCCAUCCCAAAUACAAAAGAAUCUAGGGGUUCAAAUUAAGGACCUAAGAUAGAGCCAGGACUUUGAAUCUCAGAUCAAGUAUUGAAUCAAGCAUCAAGUCUACAAUCAACGAGCCAUCUAUUAAUCUAUAGAGCCAAACGCUUCAUCAAGCCAUGCCAUCAGAGUUCCCGACGAGACUAUGUACAUAUAUAGGACUAGACUAGAUCUGCAUAUAUAUCUUUUAACUAUUUCCAUAUACAAUAGGGUGUAGGAUUGUUACACUGAGAAAGGCCUACAACUUUGUAAAAUCUCUCGUGCGUCUAACCUGGGAUAAACCUGUAUAUCCCUGAAGAGAGCUAAAGGACGGACAAUACCCAGUUAUAAAUUCUGCUAUAGUAAGAUAUUUUCAACUAUAGUUGAAUUUGAUAUUCAACUAUUGCUACUAUUUUCAUAAAUACAAUUAUACAUUAUAGCUAUAUAAAUCAAUCAACACCGUCAUAAGAUAGACCCACCAUGAUUUGACAGUAGAAACAUCUCUUUCUAACAUGAUUUUUUUUUACCAAUACAGUAAGCACAGUGGUUCUGGUUCUACUUCUACUUCGGUCUUCUUGUAAUAAUAUAGGAGUAAUAGCUAAACAAACAUAGAAUAACAACAAAAAAAUAUUUAGUGAGUUAAAUGGAGCGUGGUGAACUGAUGAGGAAAGUAUAUGUGCACGUUUUUCCAAAUCUAAAAGAGCACAUAUACCCUUAGCUGCUGACAAGUAUUUUGACCAAAUUAUCACAAAACUAUAGAUUUAAGGAGUUGCAUCACAAAACUACAUAUUUAGCACCAAAUUUAUCACAAAACUACAUAUUUUAGAUUAAGUAUCAUAAAAAUGCAUAUUUAAUAUUGAACUUAUCACAAAACUACAACUUUUGGAGUUUAUAUCCCUAGCACCAUUGUUAUGGUGGAGCUAUAAACAUCAUUACUUUGUGAUUAAAUUGAUUCUAAACCUAAAGUUUUGUGAUAAUUUAAUUACUAAAUAUGUAGUUCGUGACACUUCAUCUUAAAUGUGUAGUUUUGUGAUAAAUUUAGUGUUAUAUGUGUAGUUUUGUGAUACACCAAGUUAAAUCUGUAGUUUUGUGAUAAUUUGGUCAUAGUAUCUAUAGUUUUGUAAAAUUUACUCAUUAAAAUAUUACCUCAAAAGAAAAAUUUGAGUAAGAGCAAGUUUAAUAGUAUAACCAACUAUUGGCUCUAAAUCAUCUAUAGUUAAUUUAGUAGCUAAUUCAUACAAUAGUUACAUAUAAACAUGUACUACAUAAUUAAUGCAUGGUCCCACUUGUCAUAUCCACAUGUAUCUUGGAGUUCGUGUUGCAGCUGGCUACAAAUCUGUAGACCGCUACUCUUAUCUCUCCUUAAAAUAUGUUUAUAGCUGAUUUAUAGUCUACUAUCGUACCUGCUCUAAGUGCAACAAGCAGUCUACGCUCAAGUCCAACAUAGUUACACGAGCAAAUUAACUUGCCUAGAUUUUAUUGUCAGCGUUAUGCUUGCAUUUAUCAACUUACCGCACUUGCUGGAGAGAGUCUAACUUUUUAUAGAAAAGAAUCUACUAUAUCUUACAUACUAACUUGAACAGCUCACUUUUUAUCAACAUAAUACACCCUAAGUACUGUCUUCGCAUGAUAAACACACAACUGUAAAAUAGCAAAACAAUCAGGAGCCAUGGAUUAUAUUACCACAUCUAUGUCAAAUAUAAUGCAAGCCAAUCCAGCAUCCACAAGGUCCAAGACAAUGGCAAUUGGCAAGUAAAUUCUCGAAUCCAUCCAACUAAUGGUGGUCAGAAGUGUAAAAACCAUGGGCUAAUCAAGUUGUAUCCAGUGAACUGAGCUCCUCAUCUCAGCCUUUUUUGGUCAUACGAAUUUACUUAAUUAAUCUAGAUUAUUUGGUCGGCGCAUGCAUACAUAAUACCAAACAGAGAAGGCUCGAUCUCAUUCUAUAUCUAAUUAGGCAAACAGUAAAUCUUGAUACUAAAUGAUAGCUAUCAAGCAGGCAGGCAGCAGGUAGAUAUGCAGAGAAAAAGGUGAGAUAAUUAUAUCCAUAGUUCAUGACAGGAGAACAACCGGCUUAAUUGUGGAUGGAAUUGAAUCUCCGGCUCAGCAUGACAACAUCCAGAGGCAGAAUGUACACUUUACAUUUGGUACGUUUGUAUUAAUUAAUUAUGUGGUUAAGCCUUUCCAUUGUCUUGAUUGAGAUCACUGAACUGGCUGGUUAAAUAAUCUAGCUUUUAUUAGUGUUUCCUGGCCACAGGAUUUAGAUGGAAGGAUACAUGAUGCUGGUGGUGGGCCCAUACUGCAGCAAAGAUGGGGAUGAGGGUCGGCGCUGAACGGCUGCCCAAACCAAUAGAUCAUCAUGGGAUUAUUCAAUUAUUACCUUCUCAACGACAAUUACUUGUUGAGGCAGUUGAACCAUAGUUUUGAUGUUAAUUUUCUGUGGUAGUUUAAUAAUUUGAGUCAGGUUAUUGCAUACGAUGUCUCCAAGGUUUCUCUUUCAGUUUAGCCGUUUGGGGGAGGGUUAUAGCACCCGGCGAUAUCCAACCACGGUAAUUCUAAUAAACCGAUAGAAACGGAACAAAAUUUAUCAAAACUUUUAAUUUAUGUUUAAAAUAAACUUGGUCAGGUUAAUGGCGUGGGACACGUUACCUACCCACAGACAAUAAACCUAUGGUACGUACGGUUAUCACAGUAACCACAUAAUAAGGAAACCCCGAUUGCAUCAUUGAUUCUUGGCAUGGAUGUACUAAUUGAUUACUUCCUCCGUCCCUAAAUAUAAGGGAUUUUGGUUGGAUGUAAUGUAUUCUAGUACUACGAAUCUGGGCAUUCUCUAUGUUCAUAUUCGUAGUACUAGGAUAUGUCACAUCCAACCAAAAUCCAUUAUAUUUAGAGACGGAGGGAGUACUACUAUAAACUCUCCUUAGGACAGCUUAGGAGAUGUCCUAAAAACAGGAAUUUAUCCCACAAUUUUCAUAACAGAGUAGUAGAACAAUUAUAUGCUAACAAUAUCAUGUUCCGAAAUACACGUUGUAGGUUGACAAUAUGUUUUAUUGUUGGAAACAUGGAAUUCCAUCUCUUGAACGUGCGUUGAAAGGAUGCAUUUGCAAGUUUACAAGUGUAAUGUGUGCGUGUGUAUUGUGUGAUAUGGUGGGUGUGCACAAGUUCAUCUUUAGGUAAUCUCUACUAUUAUUAUUAUAAAAGUUUAAGGUGUUUUUGCCUAAAAAUUGUGUAUGUCGUCCGAUUUGUUUCCGUUGUCGUAUCAGUUUAGUUCGGCAUGAUUCAGCCACCGUUCGCUCGCUCGGACUGACAAUGAAGAUUGAAUCGAGCUAUGUAAAGAAAAUGAUUAUUUUCUUGCUUUAUGUGUGCAAAUUUAAUGAGAGAAUCCAUUAUAUGCCAUUGACUUUGUCACACGUCUACGAUUUGCCACUGACUUUAUCAUGUCCUACAAUAUGCCAUCGACUUUUGCUUAACUUUUACGAUUUACCAUCGCCGUCUAGUUAGUCUCCGUUAGUACUGUACAAAUUUGUUGAAAUGACCAAAAUACCCCUAGGACAAAAUUUUCAAAAUUCGGAUAAAAAUUCUGAAGUAUCAUAUUUUAAGUUUUUGGAAAAAAAAUGGAUGUUUACAAUCUUAUGUUUAUAAUAUGAUAUUUUGAUAAUUUUAUCCAAAUUUUGGAAGUUUUGUACUAGGGGUAUUUUGGUCAUUUAGACAAAAUUGUACAAUGCUAACAGAGGCUAACCGGACGAUGAUGGUAAAUUGUAGAAGUUAGGCGAAAUUCAAUGACAUAUUGUAGAACAUGACAAAGUCAGUGGCAAAUCAUAGCCGAGUGACAAAGUCAGUGGCAUAUAAUGGAUUCUCUCAAAUAUAAUUGGGCUGUAGAAAGAUAGCCAAACUAACAUAUAUGGGUUGUAAACUUGAGGAAAAGGAAUAAGUCUAUUUUACCUAUCUCCUGUUUUGCUUAUGAUCAAAUGGCAUCUCUCAACCCAAAACCGGGUAUAAUGCUUCCCUCAACAUAAAAAACCGGUGCAAAUUGCAAAUUAGCUCCAUUAGUGGUUUAGACAAUUGUUUAUGCUAAGUCGGUAGAAAAUUUUUUAAAAAUAAUAGUGGGACCUAUAUGUCAUCCCCUUUCUAUCUGACACAUAUGUGCAAAUUAAAUUGGCUCUACCCAUUGCAACGCACGGACAUCUUUUCUAGUUGAAAAGUUUGUGCUGCCUAUCCCAUUUAUAUAUACAUGUAUAUAUUUGAGAUAAAUUUUGCUACAUAACAUCGUUAACUUCACGUUUUAACUAUAGGAAGCCACAAAAGUGAACCUUUAGAAGAUCACAUACUCAAAGUUGGAUAUUUGCUAGUGUACACUACACCAAUUAAAAUAUUUACUUUUAGUUGAAUUGGAGAGAGAAAUCGUGUGAAAUGUCGAAAAUACCUUUGAGCCCACAUGUCAUAUCUCCCAUCCAUCUUCUCUUCUCUCUAUCCCCUCCAUCCACAUCAGCAAUGCCGGAGGACCGCCGCCACUGCCCUCUCGUCCCCAAUCUCAAUCGCCUUCACUACCUCCCUCUAGCAAUCAGCCCAUGUGAGUCCAUUCUCAUCCACCAGCUGUCCAAUGACCGCCGCCACAACCCUAUCGUCGCCAUCCUUGGCUGCCAAGGCCACCUCCCUCCCCCUGUCGGCCCGCGCAAAUCCCCUUCUUGUGUAGAUCACCGCUGUCCGACGACUACCACCACAUCUUCUUGUCCAUCCCUUGCCAACUCCUCGCCUCCCUCCCGCCCAUGUGGACCUCCUCCCCGUCCAGAUUAACGCCAUUGUGGUCCAGGUAGAGGAAGAAGGAGAGGCGGUGACACAACAAUAGCAGUGGCAGCUCGGCCUCGAGGGAGUUGUCGGCCGUCUCAGGAGACGACGAGUCCCUGCCUCACCACACUUUUGUGUUGAUGUGGACGGAGGGGAUGAGAGAAAGAUAGGAGUGGGAAAGCUGAAAUGUGGGCCCGUGAGUAUUCCUGACAUUUCAAACGAUUUAUUUCUCCUAUUCAAUUAGAAAUAAAUAUUUUAAAGUUAUGGUGUCCAUCAAUAAAUAUCCAACCUUUGAAAGUGUCGUUCUCCCAAUUUUACGGUAUAGCUAAAAUCAUGAUGUUACAAUGUGAUGUAACAAAAUUUGCCUAUAUUUGAAUACCAAGUUCAGUUUAAACUACUGACUAUUUCGAUGCAUUCCUGAUUUAUUUGCACAUAUUUCAUAACUCAGCUCAUCAGCAGGUCAUCCCUUCCACAAAACCGAGCUAUGUCGCCGUGGAUUUAUGUUGUAGCUAUGGUGCCAGAACAAAACAUUUAAUGGAGCAUUAAGGGAGUUGUACAUACUACAUGGUUCACAGGCACACACAGCUCAUGGGAUUUGCUGUACAAUAAUGUUGACAGCUAUAGCCAAGAUCACUACAAAGUUUCCAAAAUUAAGAAAACCAAAUUAAACCAUACAAUAAGACCAUCCUCUUGUUCUUCUCACAAAACCCUUAAACCCCUAUAAAUACCUCCCCCAUGGCACCCAAGAUUCCACAACACAAACACUUGCAACCCCCAAGCAUUUCCGUUUCUUGCUCUCCUCCGUCCGUCGAGCCAAUCAGGCAAGCGAGAGCAAACGCAAUGGGCAAAGAGGCCGACGUCGAGGCCGGCGGCGUCCGGGACUACGAGGACCCGCCGCCGGCGCCUCUCGUCGACAUCGACGAGCUCGGGAGGUGGUCGCUGUACCGCGCCGUCAUCGCCGAGUUCGUGGCCACGCUGCUGUUCCUGUACGUCACGGUGGCCACGGUGAUCGGGUACAAGCACCAGACGGACGCGUCGGCGUCCGGCGACGACGCGGCGUGCGGCGGCGUGGGCGUCCUCGGCAUCGCGUGGGCGUUCGGCGGCAUGAUCUUCAUCCUGGUGUACUGCACCGCCGGCAUCUCCGGCGGGCACAUCAACCCGGCGGUGACGUUCGGCCUCUUCCUGGCGCGCAAGGUGUCCCUGGUCCGCGCCAUCCUCUACAUCGUGGCGCAGUGCCUCGGCGCCGUCUGCGGCGUCGCGCUCGUCAAGGGGUUCCAGAGCUCGUUCUACGACAGGUACGGCGGCGGCGCCAACGAGCUCGCCGCCGGCUACUCCAAGGGCACCGGCCUCGCCGCCGAGAUCAUCGGCACCUUCGUGCUCGUGUACACCGUCUUCUCCGCCACCGACCCCAAGCGCAACGCCCGCGACUCCCAUGUCCCGGUAAG
RNAcentral lists this long non-coding RNA (18162 nucleotides) under Oryza sativa (Asian cultivated rice). RNAcentral describes it as "long non-coding RNA (OSAT_LNC001337)". Lineage: Eukaryota; Viridiplantae; Streptophyta; Magnoliopsida; Poales; Poaceae. The record is from RNAcentral.